This 460-nucleotide ribosomal RNA is filed under the name uncultured bacterium. RNAcentral describes it as "partial 16S ribosomal RNA". It matches the Rfam family "Bacterial small subunit ribosomal RNA", at positions 338 to 795 of the family's 1533-position model. The record is from RNAcentral.
CCUACGGGUGGCAGCAGUGAGGAAUAUUGGUCAAUGGGCGCUAGCCUGAACCAGCCAAGUAGCGUGAAGGAUGACUGCCCUAUGGGUUGUAAACUUCUUUUAUAUGGGAAUAAAGUGCAGUAUGUAUACUGUUUUGCAUGUACCUUAUGAAUAAGGAUCGGCUAACUCCGUGCCAGCAGCCGCGGUAAUACGGAGGUUCCGAGCGUUAUCCGGAUUUAUUGGGGUUAAAGGGAGCGUAGGCGGGUUGUUAAGUCAGUUGUGAAAGUGUUCGGCUCAACCGUAAUAUUGCAGUUGAUACUGGCAGCCUUGAGUACAGUAGAGGUAGGUGGAAUUCGUGGUGUAGCGGUGAAAUGCGUAGAUAUCACGAAGAACACCAAUUGCGAAGGCAGCCUGCUGGACUGUAACUGACGCUGAUGCUCGAAAGUGUGGGUAUCAAACAGGAUUAGAUACCCGGGUAGUC